This 253-nucleotide ribosomal RNA is filed under the name uncultured bacterium. RNAcentral describes it as "partial 16S ribosomal RNA". It matches the Rfam family "Bacterial small subunit ribosomal RNA", at positions 524 to 776 of the family's 1533-position model. The record is from RNAcentral.
UACGGAGGGGGCAAGCGUUAUUCGGAAUUAUUGGGCGUAAAGGGCUCGUAGGCGGUCUGUCGCGUCGGGAGUGAAAACUCAGGGCUUAACCCUGAGCCUGCUUCCGAUACGGGCAGACUAGAGGUAUGCAGGGGAGAACGGAAUUCCUGGUGUAGCGGUGGAAUGCGCAGAUAUCAGGAGGAACACCGGUGGCGAAGGCGGUUCUCUGGGCAUUACCUGACGCUGAGGAGCGAAAGUGUGGGGAGCGAACAGG